UACGAGGGAUGCAAGCGUUAUCCGGAAUUAUUGGGCGUAAAGCGUUUGUAGGCGGGCGAGUGUGUUUAAUGUUAAAUCUUAAAGCUCAACUUUGAAAUUGCGUUAAAAACUGCUUGUCUUGAGUAUGGUAGGGGUAAAGGGAAUUCCCAGUGUAGCGGUGAAAUGCGUAGAUAUUGGGAAGAACACUAAACAGCGAAGGCACUUUACUAGGCUAAUACUGACGCUGAGAAACGAAAGGUAAGGUAGCGAAACGGAUUAGAUACCCGUGUAGUCUUACCCGUAAACUAUGGACACUAAACGGUAAAUUUUUAAUUUACUGUUAAAGCUAACGCGUUAAGUGUCCCGCCUGGGGAGUAUGCUUGCAAAAGUGAAACUCAAAGGAAUUGACGGGGGCCCGCACAAGCGGAGGAGCAUGUGGUUUAAUUCGACGGUACACGAAGAACCUUACCAGGAUUUGACAUGCUAGAUAGUUGCUUGAAAGAGUAACGUGCCGUAAGGAAUCUAGACACAGGUGGUGCAUGGCUGUCGUCAGUUCGUGUUGUGAAAUGUUGGGUUAAGUCCCGCAACGAACGCAACCCUUGUCUUUAGUUAUUUUCUAAAGAGACUGCCUGUAAUAAACAGGAGGAAGGUAAGGAUGAGGUCAAGUCAUCAUGCCCCUUAUGUCCUGGGCUACACACGUGCUACAAUGGGAAAGACAAUGAGCUGCAAAUCUGUAAAUUUAAGCAAAUCUCUUAAACUUUCUCGUAGUUCGGAUUGUGGGCUGCAACUCGCCCACAUGAAGUUGGAAUCGCUAGUAAUCGCCAGUCAGCUAUAUGGCGGUGAAUCCGUUCCCGGGCCU
This 838-nucleotide ribosomal RNA is filed under the name uncultured bacterium. RNAcentral describes it as "bacterial SSU rRNA". It matches the Rfam family "Bacterial small subunit ribosomal RNA", at positions 524 to 1381 of the family's 1533-position model. The record is from RNAcentral.